ACCAUGGGAAUCUGCCAGGGAAAGAGGCAGGCAGAGCCAGAGGCCAAGACAGUGAGAGCCAAAGUGAUCAGUGGGGACCAGGAUCCAGAUCAGUGAGAAGCACAGACCCAUGAACUGGCAGAGUUGAAGAAGAGAAUGCAGCUCAUGCCACAUUCAGUUCUCCAUGCGAACUUGACAGCUGAACUGGUCUACAACAAAAUUAAUGAGGGUCAGAAAGACCUCUUCUAGAAGCUGUCCUAUGGUAGUGGUGACCAGUGUCUGUUGAGCCCUCCAGGCCCUUUCUCCUGAGCCUGGGGAGCUGAAGGCAUCCUGAAGUAAAAGUGUCACUAAAAGCUGCAAUAAAAGGAAUAAUAGAGGUAACUUUCUGAAUGACACCAGUCUGGGUACAGUCCGAAGUCUGCGGAGAGAAAGAGAGAGAGGAACAAGAAAAGGAGAAGGAAGGCCAGGUGUGGUGGCUCACUCCUGUAAUCCCAGCAUUUUGGGAGGCCAAGGUGAGCAGAUCACUCGAGGUCAAGAGUUCAAGACCAGCCUGGCCAACAUGGUGAAACCCUGUCUCUACUAAAAAUUCAAAAAUUAGCUGGGCAUGGUGGUUGGUGCCGUAAUCCCAGCUACUUGGGAGGCUGAGGGAGCAGAAUCACUUGAUCCCCAGAGGUGGAGGUUGCAGUGAGCUGAGAUCAUACCACUGCAUCCCAGCCUGGGGAACAGAGUGAGACUCUGUCUCAAAAGAAAAAAAAAAAGAAUGGAAAAAGAAAAGGAGAAGGAAAGAAAAGGGAAGAGCUUCUCCACAACCAUUGGAUGGCCUCUCAUUGCUCUGAAGACAAAGACAAAACUCAGGGCUGUCCUCCAAGCCCUAUGUGAUCUGGUCCUGUCACCUGCCCAUGGCUCUGUUCUCCUCACUCUUCUCUAUCUCUCUAUUACCCAGCCAGACUCAUCAUGCUCUGCCCAGAGCCGGGCCUUUGCUGCUGCUUCUGCCUGGACCUCAUUUUCCUUCCCCUCUUUGCCUAGAUAAUGCCAUGUCAUCCUUCAGAUCUCAGCUCAAGAGUUACUUCCUCAGAAAGCCUUGCCUGAUUUCACCAUCUAAUUCAAAUGCUACUAGCAUCAGUUCUCAGGAUACCUGGUACCUCUUCUGGCUACAUUUGUCAUUGUUAACAAUUUUACAACUGUGUAAAAUUCGAUUGUCUUUCUUCCCCCACCAAGUUGUAAGCCCCUGAGGGCAAGAGCUGGAAAUAUUGUUGCUCACCACUGUGUCUUCAACAGUGUCUGGGGCAUACUAGGGUUUAAAAAGUAUUGAAUGAAUGAAUUAAUUAAUGAAGUUAGGACUCAACUCAGCUGGUCUCUGCCCAUUUCCAAAGCAUGUUUUCUUAACUAUUACGCGGGAAUGCGAAAGACUGCUAGCAGGGAAGAAUGAGCAAGGGAGUAUGUUGGGAGGCCAUAGAGCCUUGCAGGCACUGCUACUUACUAGCUGUGUGAACUUCUCAAAGCUUCAUCUGAAAAUGAGGAUAACACCUAUUUAUAGCAUUGCUAUAAGGAUUAUAUAAGAUGAUCCAUAGAAGUACUUAGCCUGGCACAUAGUAAGCACACAAUAAAAAGUAACUAAAACUAAUGUUGCAGGAUCUCCUCUUGACCUGAUACCUCCCAAAUAAACCGACCCCUUAUCUGAGAGAUUGUCCCUGUCUCUGUGUCUCUGUCUCUCUCUCCCUCUCUGAGACUC
Molecule: long non-coding RNA, 1711 nt
Organism: Pongo pygmaeus (Bornean orangutan)
Lineage: Eukaryota; Metazoa; Chordata; Mammalia; Primates; Hominidae
Exons: 3
Source: RefSeq, a predicted model, not a curated record